Molecule: ribosomal RNA, 778 nt
Filed under: uncultured Neocallimastigales
Lineage: Eukaryota; Fungi; Neocallimastigomycota; Neocallimastigomycetes; Neocallimastigales
Description: partial large subunit ribosomal RNA
Rfam family: Eukaryotic large subunit ribosomal RNA
Source: RNAcentral
UCAUAGCGACUAUCGUGGCAUAUCAAUAAGCGGAGGAAAAGAAACUAACAAGGAUUCCCUUAGUAACGGCGAGUGAAGCGGGAAGAGCUCAAAUUUGAAAUCUUCAAGGUUUUACCUUGACGAUAUUGUAGUUUAAAGAAGUGUUUUCUGUUGAAGUUUUGGUAAAAGUUCUUUGGAAUAGGACAUCAUAGAGGGUGAGAAUCCCGUAUUUGACCAUUAUUUUCAGCUGUGUGAUACACUUUCAAAGAGUCGGAUUGUUUGGGAAUGCAGUCCAAAAUGGGUGGUAAAUUUCAUCUAAAGCUAAAUAUUGGCGAGAGACCGAUAGCGAACAAGUACCGUGAGGGAAAGAUGAAAAGAACUUUGAAAAGAGAGUUAAACAGUACGUGAAAUUGUCAAAAGGGAAGCGUUUGACACCAGUGUUGUUUUCUCGAAAAUCAAUUAAAAAAGGCCGGAUUUUGUGUUGUAUUGACCUUAAAAGCUUUCUUCACUCUUUUCUUGUCUUUUUUAAUGCACUUUUCGUUUAACAAGUCAACAUCAGUUUCUUUUGUUGUAAAAGGGUCAUUGGAAGGUGGCUUUCUUUUCGGAGAAAGUGUUUAUAGCCUUUGAUCUCUGCAACCGGAGAGACUGAGGUCUGCAGCGUAGACUCUUCGGGGUUAAAUACAUUUGUGCUAAGUUAUAGCUUUUCAUAGACAACUUGUUGACUAUAUUUAGUCUUGUAGGCUUACUCGCUUACUGCUAUUUUACCUACGCUUAGGAUGUUGAUAUGCAUGACUGAUAU